AGAGUUUGAUCAUGGCUCAGAUUGAACGCUGGCGGUAUGCUUAACACAUGCAAGUCGAACGGUAACAGGAAAAGCUUGCUUUUCGCUGACGAGUGGCGGACGGGUGCGUAAUGCGUAGGAAUCUGCCUAGUAGUGGGGGACAACUCGGAGAAAUUCGAGCUAAUACCGCAUAAGCCCUACGGGGGAAAACGGGGGAUCUUCUGACCUCGUGCUAUUAGAUGAGCCUACGUUAGAUUAGCUUGUUGGUGAGGUAAAAGCUCACCAAGGCGACGAUCUAUAGCUGGUCUGAGAGGAUGAUCAGCCACACUGGGACUGAGACACGGCCCAGACUCCUACGGGAGGCAGCAGUGGGGAAUAUUGGACAAUGGGCGAAAGCCUGAUCCAGCAAUACCGCGUGUGUGAAGAAGGCCUGAGGGUUGUAAAGCACUUUCAAUUGGGAGGAAUACUUAAUGGUUAAUAGCCAUUAGAUGACAUUAC
Molecule: ribosomal RNA, 477 nt
Filed under: uncultured bacterium
Lineage: Bacteria
Description: bacterial SSU rRNA
Rfam family: Bacterial small subunit ribosomal RNA
Source: RNAcentral